GUCUCAGUUCGGAUUGAAGGCUGAAAUUCGCCUUCAUGAAGCUGGAAUUGCUAGUAAUGGCAGGUCAGCAUACUGCCGUGAAUACGUUCCCGGGCCUUGUACACACCGCCCGUCACACCAUGAGAGUUGGGAAUACCCGAAGCCUGUGAGCUAACUUUAAGAGGCAGCAGUCGAAGGUAGAAUCAAUGAUUGGGGUGAAGUCGUAACAAGGUAGC
This 215-nucleotide ribosomal RNA is filed under the name uncultured bacterium. RNAcentral's name for it is "partial 16S ribosomal RNA". It matches the Rfam family "Bacterial small subunit ribosomal RNA", at positions 1285 to 1500 of the family's 1533-position model. The record is from RNAcentral.